UACGUAGGUGUCGAGCGUUAUCCGGAAUUACUGGGCGUAAAGGGCACGCAGGCGGUCUGGGAAGUUCGACGUGAAAGCUUCCGGCUUAACUGGGAGAGGUCGUUGGAAACUAUCAGACUGGAGGAAGUGAGAGGGAGGCGGAAUUCCCGGUGUAGUGGUGGAAUGCGUAGAGAUCGGGAAGAACACCAGUGGCGAAAGCGGCCUUCUGGCACUUUACUGACGCUGAGGUGCGAAAGCGUGGGGAGCGAACGGGAUUAGAAACCCCCGUAGUCC
This 273-nucleotide ribosomal RNA is filed under the name uncultured bacterium. RNAcentral's name for it is "partial 16S ribosomal RNA". It matches the Rfam family "Bacterial small subunit ribosomal RNA", at positions 524 to 796 of the family's 1533-position model. The record is from RNAcentral.